RNAcentral lists this unclassified non-coding RNA (243 nucleotides) under uncultured fungus. Its description in RNAcentral is "partial contains 5.8S ribosomal RNA, internal transcribed spacer 2, and large subunit ribosomal RNA". The record is from RNAcentral. Lineage: Eukaryota; Fungi.
AACGCACAUUGCGCCCUUUGGUAUUCCAUAGGGCAUGCCUGUUCGAGCGUCGUUUAAAAGGUCAAGCUUUGCUUGGUGUUGGGGGCCUGUCCCGCUCUGCGCGUGGACUCUCCCUAAAGUCAUUGGCAGCGGUUAUGUUAGCUUCUCGCGCACACUUGCGGUCAGGGAGCAGCGAACUGGUGAUCCAUUAACGCUAUUAUCUACGUCGACCUCGGAUCAGGUAGGGAUACCCGCUGAACUUAA